UGAUCAGGGAAGCUGUGAAGAAAGUGUUUUUAUCCCCGAGUUUGCCCCAUCAAACAAUGGUAAAAAGUGCCUCCUGAAGAAAUCCCAACAUACUGAGAGUGAUUCCAUUCUGGAGCGCUCCUCCAUAAUCACAAAUUCAGAUUACUCAGAGAAAAUUAGCAGUAAUAUGAAGUCUGUGAUUAGCAAAAGCAAGACUUCAUGUGAUAAUUUCCUGUCUAAAGUAGAGGGAGGCUUUCCUCGUGCUGGGGAACAUAGUGAUGAUUUUGUGGAAAAUGGAUUCAGCAGACAGCGAGAGGCUGAUGGUAUUGAGACUGGAGGUUUGACUACUGAUAACACAUUCAAUUUAAAGGAUCCCAUGGACUUGUGUACGAAAUUUCCAACACUGAUCAAUUCAGAUAAUAAUGUCAAAUUUCCAUCAUGCAGGAACCCUGUUCCUAAUGCCUCUAUUUUAAGGCUUAGGAAUGAUAGUAAAUUAGGUAUUAGAGAUGACGAUGAAAAUUUUUCUAGGUGUAAUAAACCUGGCACCAAGCCAAGGGCAUUUAGGUAUCCAUCCCAUAUUGGGGACCGAAGAAUAAGGAAAUUAUUGACAUCUAAAU
Molecule: unclassified non-coding RNA, 596 nt
Filed under: Hevea brasiliensis (rubber tree)
Lineage: Eukaryota; Viridiplantae; Streptophyta; Magnoliopsida; Malpighiales; Euphorbiaceae
Source: RNAcentral